Long non-coding RNA from Hermetia illucens (black soldier fly), 498 nucleotides. RefSeq lists it as uncharacterized. Lineage: Eukaryota; Metazoa; Arthropoda; Insecta; Diptera; Stratiomyidae. The transcript is spliced from 3 exons. The record is from RefSeq and is a predicted model, not a curated record.
CUUAACUUGCAAAUGAAAAAUAUUUUCAGUUGCAUUCAUAUUUGCGCAUUCACAAAGUGUUAAUUGUUUGGUUGGUAACUGUUUUAAUUCAUUAAGAAAUACCUAUCCGAAUGGUAUUUGCGUGCAAUUAGUGACGCUAAAAAGAUGAUUCGUUUUGAAUAAUUGAAAGGUGUCCGUACAUUUUGAUUGGGUGCACAAAUAAGUUUUGAGAGAUUUGUUAAGGGAAAUUCAAUAUCGUUUGCUUUGUCAGUAAAGUUUAUUUUUGUGCAGAUACCUAUAUUUCGGAAACGAGAGGAGCAACUGCAGAUUGUUUUCGUUGUUGAAAUCUUCUCAUCUUAUUGAGGCCACAAAUUGAAAAGUGAACAAGAUCCGCUGGCGUAGAGAGGAAGUUGCUCCUGAACUUUACCUUGCAGAUUCUACUCGCAUCGCACCGUAUUAAGGACACACAAAGUGUUAUUAAUGACGUAUGAGGGGUGGUGUAUUCAAAAACACCCCCCC